Molecule: ribosomal RNA, 443 nt
Filed under: uncultured bacterium
Lineage: Bacteria
Description: partial 16S ribosomal RNA
Rfam family: Bacterial small subunit ribosomal RNA
Source: RNAcentral
CCUACGGGUGGCAGCAGUGGGGAAUAUUGGGCAAUGGGCGCAAGCCUGACCCAGCAACGCCGCGUGAAGGAAGAAGGCUUUCGGGUUGUAAACCUCUUUUCUCAGGGACGAAGAAAGUGACGGUACCUGAGGAAUAAGCCACGGCUAACUACGUGCCAGCAGCCGCGGUAAUACGUAGGGGGCAAGCGUUAUACGGAUUUACUGGGUGUAAAGGGCGUGUAGGCGGGACUGCAAGUCAGAUGUGAAAACCACGGGCUGAACCUGUGGCCUGCGUUUGAAACUGUAGUUCUUGAGUGCUGGAGAGGCAGACGGAAUUCCUAGUGUAGCGGUGAAAUGCGUAGAUAUUAGGAGGAACACCAGUGGCGAAGGCGGUCUGCUGGACAGCAACUGACGCUGAGGCGCGAAAGCGUGGGGAGCAAACAGGAUUAGAUACCCGUGUAGUC